RNAcentral lists this ribosomal RNA (333 nucleotides) under uncultured bacterium. Its description in RNAcentral is "bacterial SSU rRNA". It matches the Rfam family "Bacterial small subunit ribosomal RNA", at positions 1 to 334 of the family's 1533-position model. The record is from RNAcentral.
ACAGAUCGUUCAGAGUUUGAUCCUGGCUCAGAUUGAACGCUGGCGGCAUGCUUUACACAUGCAAGUCGAACGGCAGCGCGGGGCAACCUGGCGGCGAGUGGCGAACGGGUGAGUAAUACAUCGGAACGUACCCAGAAGUGGGGGAUAACGUAGCGAAAGUUACGCUAAUACCGCAUACGAUCUACGGAUGAAAGUGGGGGACCUUCGGGCCUCAUGCUUUUGGAGCGGCCGAUGUCUGAUUAGCUAGUUGGUAGGGUAAAGGCCUACCAAGGCGACGAUCAGUAGCUGGUCUGAGAGGACGACCAGCCACACUGGGACUGAGACACGGCCCAG